RNAcentral lists this transfer RNA (68 nucleotides) under Methylobacterium nodulans ORS 2060. RNAcentral's name for it is "tRNA-Val". Lineage: Bacteria; Pseudomonadati; Pseudomonadota; Alphaproteobacteria; Hyphomicrobiales; Methylobacteriaceae. The record is from RNAcentral.
GGGGAGCAGGGGAGCACACGUCGUUUACACCGAGAGGGUCGGCGGUUCGAGCCCGUCACCGCCCACCA